CCUGGCUUAGGACGAACGCUGGCGGCGUGCCUAAUACAUGCAAGUCGAACGGUCUUUUCUAUGGAAGCUUGCUUCCACUGAGAAGAUAGUGGCGAACGGGUGAGUAACACGUGGGUAACCUGCCCAUAAGAGGGGGGAUAACAUCCGGAAACGGGUGCUAAUACCGCAUAGUUUUCUUGAUCGCAUGAUUGAGAAAGGAAAGACGGCCUUUGUGCUGUCGCUUAUGGAUGGACCCGCGGCGUAUUAGUUAGUUGGUGAGGUAACGGCUCACCAAGACGAUGAUACGUAGCCGACCUGAGAGGGUGAUCGGCCACAUUGGGACUGAGACACGGCCCAAACUCCUACGGGAGGCAGCAGUAGGGAAUCUUCCGCAAUGGACGAAAGUCUGACGGAGCAACGCCGCGUGAGUGAAGAAAGGUUUUCGGAUCGUAAAACUCUGUUGUCAGAGAAGAACAAGUUGGAGAGUAACUGCUCCAGCCUUGACGGUAUCUGACCAGAAAGCCACGGCUAACUACGUGCCAGCCGCCGC
This 529-nucleotide ribosomal RNA is filed under the name uncultured bacterium. Its description in RNAcentral is "bacterial SSU rRNA". It matches the Rfam family "Bacterial small subunit ribosomal RNA", at positions 18 to 518 of the family's 1533-position model. The record is from RNAcentral.